AUGAAAGGAGCUCCAGGGUUGCCACUUCUCGCAGCCGCAAUGACACUCUGGCACGUAGGACAGGCGUGCACCACAAUCAAAAACUCAACGGUAAUAUCCUUUAACAGCACUAAGCAAGCACUCUUUAAAAACGGAAUGGUAACCAUACCACUGGUCAUAGACCUAAUAUACCCCUACAAAGUUUGCAACGAAGUAUACCACAGUUCGGUACUCGCUGGUAUGUUCAGGUCUGCGGGAAGCCCAACUCAAAGCAGGAAUUACGAGGCAAGGAGCCGCCAAAAACGCGCAAUUCCCUUGCUAGUGGCAGGCGCGGUGGCAACUUCAUCGUCAGUGGCGACACUCGCUACCAUGCUUUGGGCAAAAUUGAGUUUUGCGGAGUUAAACGGAGAAAUCGAAAAAUUACGGCAAGAUCUCGGAGGAAGAACCAGCUACCUCGAAAAACUAACGAUCGAGAAUAAAGAGGCAAAUAUCAAAAAUUACAUAGCCAUAAGGAGGGAUCUGAAACAAAUAACGACCUUAAUGUCCGAAAACUUAUGUAAAAUACAAAAUUAUACCAGAAUUAUUCUGCUAGAGUCUCAAAUGCUAAACGAAUUCGACGAAAUUAUGGCAGCCCUCCGGACUAAAACCCUUAGCGCAAAACUCCUACCUCCGUCACAAUUACACGCAUUCAUCGACAACUCCCCUCCCUUGCACAACACCCUGUAUACCCAAGCACCCUACCUGCUGUAUUUGCUGGCCGAAGUAAGUUUCGACCUGGAAGAAAUCAAAAUGUCCGAUGGCUCCAUCCUCCGCGGAGUUAUCACAGUGCCAUUAAUCGUCAGGAACGAGAAGAUUAAUACAGAAAUUGCAGCCAAACGCUACGGAGACACAAUUAAAGUAUUCAGGCCAGUACAAGUAGCACAAGAGUCACUGCGCUCAGUCGAACGUUGCGACGAACAACCGGAUUUUUUUGUGUGCACAGAAGCCGACCUAACAGAUGUCCUCUUCAAAGAAGUAACGGACAAGAUGAUAUUUGACAAGGGAAUUGUAAUAGUGGCGCAGAACAACUCAGCAAUGGUAAAUAAAGAAGAAAACGGCGCAAAAACGCAGAUAAUUGGACCAGCGAUUUGUUCGGGCCCCCGCCCUUGGCCUCUGUCUGGCACCUAUCUGCUCUUGGCUUAG
RNAcentral lists this long non-coding RNA (1161 nucleotides) under Bemisia tabaci. RNAcentral describes it as "lncRNA ENSSSA1UGG010834". The record is from RNAcentral. Lineage: Eukaryota; Metazoa; Arthropoda; Insecta; Hemiptera; Aleyrodidae.